Molecule: ribosomal RNA, 245 nt
Filed under: uncultured bacterium
Lineage: Bacteria
Description: partial 16S ribosomal RNA
Rfam family: Bacterial small subunit ribosomal RNA
Source: RNAcentral
UACGUAGGUGGCGAGCGUUACUCGGAAUUACUAGGCGUAAAGCGUGUGUAGGCGGGGGCUUAAGUCCUUCGUUAAAUCUCACGGCUCAACCGUGAAAUGUCGAAGGAUACUGGGCUUCUUGAGUGUGGUAGGGGAAACUGGAAUUCCCGGUGUAGCGGUGAAAUGCGUAGAGAUCGGGAAGAACGCCAAAGGCGGAGGCAGGUUUCUGGGCCGUUACUGACGCUGAGACACGAAAGCUAGGGGAG